RNAcentral lists this ribosomal RNA (406 nucleotides) under uncultured bacterium. RNAcentral describes it as "partial 16S ribosomal RNA". It matches the Rfam family "Bacterial small subunit ribosomal RNA", at positions 30 to 526 of the family's 1533-position model. The record is from RNAcentral.
AUUGAACGCUGGCGGCAGGCCUAACACAUGCAAGUCGAACGAGUGGCGGACGGGUGAGUAAUGUCUGGGAAACUGCCCGAUGGAGGGGGCUAACUACUGGAAACGGUAGCUAAUACCGCAUACCAUCGGAUGUGCCCAGAUGGGAUUAGCUAGUAGGUGGGGUAAUGGCUCCCCUAGGCAACGAUCCCUAACUGGUCUGAGAGGAUGACCAGCCAAACUGGAACUGAGACACGUUCCAGAUGCCUACGGGAGGAAGCAGUGGGGAAUAGUGCACAAGGGGCGCAAGCCUGAUGCAGCCAUGCCGCGUGUAUGAAGAAGGCCUUCGGGUUGUAAAGUACUUUCAGCGGGGAGGCGUUACCCGCAGAAGAAGCACCGGCUAACUCCGUGCCAGCAGCCGCGGUAAUAC